CCUACGGGUGGCAGCAGUGAGGAAUAUUGGUCAAUGGCCGAGAGGCUGAACCAGCCAAGUAGCGUGAGGGAUGAAUGCCCUAAGGGUUGUAAACUUCUUUUAUCAGGGAAUAAAAAGGCUCACAGGAGCCUUUUUGAGUGUACCUUAUGAAUAAGCAUCGGCUAACUCCGUGCCAGCAGCCGCGGUAAUACGGAGGAUGCGAGCGUUAUCCGGUUUUAUUGGGUUAAAAGGGUGCGAGGGGGGUGUGUCAAGUAAUUGGUAAAGUGGGCGGGCUCAACCCCAAAGUGCCAUUUGAUAUGGCAGUCUUGAGUACAGGCGAGGUAGGCGGAAUUCGUGGUGUAGCGGUGAAAUGCUUAGAUAUCACGAAGAACCCCGAUUGCGAAGGCAGCUUACCAGUCUGCGACUGACACUGAGGCACGAAAGUGUGGGUAUCGAACAGGAUUAGAUACCCUAGUAGUC
This 459-nucleotide ribosomal RNA is filed under the name uncultured bacterium. Its description in RNAcentral is "partial 16S ribosomal RNA". It matches the Rfam family "Bacterial small subunit ribosomal RNA", at positions 338 to 795 of the family's 1533-position model. The record is from RNAcentral.